This 100-nucleotide non-coding RNA is filed under the name Desulfocurvibacter africanus. RNAcentral's name for it is "Desulfovibrio africanus TPP sequence". It matches the Rfam family "TPP riboswitch aptamer (THI element)". Rfam says of the family: Vitamin B(1) in its active form thiamin pyrophosphate (TPP) is an essential coenzyme that is synthesised by coupling of pyrimidine and thiazole moieties in bacteria. The previously detected thiamin-regulatory element, thi box was extended, resulting in a new, highly conserved RNA secondary structure, the THI element, which is widely distributed in eubacteria and also occurs in some archaea. The record is from RNAcentral. RNAcentral also lists the same sequence under 1 other name. Lineage: Bacteria; Pseudomonadati; Thermodesulfobacteriota; Desulfovibrionia; Desulfovibrionales; Desulfovibrionaceae.
UGCAUCCGAAUGGGGUGUCCCGCCCGGAGCGGGACUGAGAUCACACCCAUGGAACCUGACGCAGUUCGGACUGCCGUAGGGAUUUCGGAUCGCCGGACGC